Molecule: unclassified non-coding RNA, 339 nt
Filed under: soil metagenome
Description: partial contains 5.8S ribosomal RNA, internal transcribed spacer 2, and large subunit ribosomal RNA
Rfam family: 5.8S ribosomal RNA (bases 1-120)
Source: RNAcentral
GAUGAAGAACGCAGCGAAAUGCGAUACGUAGUGUGAAUUGCAGAAUUUAGUGAAUCAUCGAAUCUUUGAACGCACAUUGCACCUCUCGGUAUUCCGGGAGGUAUGCCUGUUCGAGCGUCAUUUGUACCCUCAAGCUCUGCUUGGUGUUGGGUGUUUGUUCCGCCUCUGUGUGUGAACUCGCCUCAAAACAAUUGGCAGCCGGCGUACUUGUUUCGGAGCGCAGCACAUUUUGCGAUCCAGAUCAACGUACAGCGGCAUCCAAGAAGCCUUAUUUAACGCUCUUGACCUCGGAUCAGGUAGGGAUACCCGCUGAACUUAAGCAUAUCAAUAAGCGGAGGA